RNAcentral lists this ribosomal RNA (301 nucleotides) under uncultured bacterium. RNAcentral describes it as "partial 16S ribosomal RNA". It matches the Rfam family "Bacterial small subunit ribosomal RNA", at positions 509 to 807 of the family's 1533-position model. The record is from RNAcentral.
CAGUAGCCGCGGUAAUACGAAGGGGGCUAGCGUUGUUCGGAUUUACUGGGCGUAAAGGGCGCGUAGGCGGGCGAAUAAGUCAGGGGUGAAAUCCCAAGGCUCGACCUUGGAACUGCCUUUGAUACUGUUUGUCUUGAGUUCGAGAGAGGUAAGUGGAACUGCGAGUGUAGAGGUGAAAUUCGUAGAUAUUCGCAAGAACACCAGUGGCGAAGGCGGCUUACCGGCUCGAAACUGACGCUGAGGCGCGAAAGCGUGGGGAGCAAACAGGAUUAGAGACCCGCGUAGUCCCUGUCUCUUAUAC